Molecule: long non-coding RNA, 287 nt
Organism: Rhinichthys klamathensis goyatoka
Lineage: Eukaryota; Metazoa; Chordata; Actinopteri; Cypriniformes; Leuciscidae
Exons: 2
Source: RefSeq, a predicted model, not a curated record
UCUGAGCUGACGAGUGUGUGUCGAGCAGAAGAUGAAGAGCUUUCUGAUGCUGAUGUUUCUGUGCUAUAUGGUAAAACUCACCACCUCUGACAGUGUGAGUGUGAGGUUGGUGAAUGGCAAUAAUCCCUGUGCUGGAAGAGUGGAGGUUCUUCAGAGAGGUCAGUGGGGAACAGUGUGUCAUAAUUGGUGGGAUAUUGCUGAUGCUGCAGUGGUGUGUAGAGAGCUGGACUGUGGGACGGCUGUAAAAGCAACAUAUGAAGCUGAUUUUGGACGUGGAUCAGGACCAA